This 72-nucleotide transfer RNA is filed under the name Camelus bactrianus (Bactrian camel). It matches the Rfam family "tRNA". Rfam says of the family: Transfer RNA (tRNA) molecules are approximately 80 nucleotides in length. Their secondary structure includes four short double-helical elements and three loops (D, anti-codon, and T loops). The record is from Rfam by way of RNAcentral. Lineage: Eukaryota; Metazoa; Chordata; Mammalia; Artiodactyla; Camelidae. RNAcentral also lists the same sequence under 2 other names.
GGAGGUAUAGCUCAGUGGUAGAGUGUGUGCUUAGCAUGCACAAGGUCCUGGGUUCAAUCCCCAGCACCUCCA